UAUGGCCAUAUAAUGUUGAAACACCGGUUCUUGUAUGAUCACCAAAGUUAAGCAACAUCAAGUCUGGUCAGUACCUAGAUGGGUGACCACUUGGAAAUACCAGGUUCUGUA
Molecule: non-coding RNA, 111 nt
Organism: Acanthosepion pharaonis
Lineage: Eukaryota; Metazoa; Mollusca; Cephalopoda; Sepiida; Sepiidae
Source: the annotation of a GenBank genome assembly